Molecule: ribosomal RNA, 1440 nt
Filed under: uncultured organism
Description: SSU rRNA
Rfam family: Bacterial small subunit ribosomal RNA
Source: RNAcentral
CGCUAGCUACAGGCUUAACACAUGCAAGUCGAGGGGCAGCAUGGUCUUAGCUUGCUAAGGCCGAUGGCGACCGGCGCACGGGUGAGUAACACGUAUCCAACCUGCCGUCUACUCUUGGACAGCCUUCUGAAAGGAAGAUUAAUACAAGAUGGCAUCAUGAGUCCGCAUGUUCACAUGAUUAAAGGUAUUCCGGUAGACGAUGGGGAUGCGUUCCAUUAGAUAGUAGGCGGGGUAACGGCCCACCUAGUCUUCGAUGGAUAGGGGUUCUGAGAGGAAGGUCCCCCACAUUGGAACUGAGACACGGUCCAAACUCCUACGGGAGGCAGCAGUGAGGAAUAUUGGUCAAUGGGCGAGAGCCUGAACCAGCCAAGUAGCGUGAAGGAUGACUGCCCUAUGGGUUGUAAACUUCUUUUAUAAAGGAAUAAAGUCGGGUAUGGAUACCCGUUUGCAUGUACUUUAUGAAUAAGGAUCGGCUAACUCCGUGCCAGCAGCCGCGGUAAUACGGAGGAUCCGAGCGUUAUCCGGAUUUAUUGGGUUUAAAGGGAGCGUAGAUGGAUGUUUAAGUCAGUUGUGAAAGUUUGCGGCUCAACCGUAAAAUUGCAGUUGAUACUGGAUAUCUUGAGUGCAGUUGAGGCAGGCGGAAUUCGUGGUGUAGCGGUGAAAUGCUUAGAUAUCACGAAGAACUCCGAUUGCGAAGGCAGCCUGCUAAGCUGCAACUGACAUUGAGGCUCGAAAGUGUGGAUAUCAAACAGGAUUAGAUACCCUGGUAGUCCACACGGUAAACGAUGAAUACUCGCUGUUUGCGAUAUACUGCAAGCGGCCAAGCGAAAGCGUUAAGUAUUCCACCUGGGGAGUACGCCGGCAACGGUGAAACUCAAAGGAAUUGACGGGGGCCCGCACAAGCGGAGGAACAUGUGGUUUAAUUCGAUGAUACGCGAGGAACCUUACCCGGGCUUAAAUUGCAGAUGAAUUACGGUGAAAGCCGUAAGCCGCAAGGCAUCUGUGAAGGUGCUGCAUGGUUGUCGUCAGCUCGUGCCGUGAGGUGUCGGCUUAAGUGCCAUAACGAGCGCAACCCUUGUUGUCAGUUACUAACAGGUUCCGCUGAGGACUCUGACAAGACUGCCAUCGUAAGAUGUGAGGAAGGUGGGGAUGACGUCAAAUCAGCACGGCCCUUACGUCCGGGGCUACACACGUGUUACAAUGGGGGGUACAGAGGGCCGCUACCACGCGAGUGGAUGCCAAUCCCCAAAACCUCUCUCAGUUCGGACUGGAGUCUGCAACCCGACUCCACGAAGCUGGAUUCGCUAGUAAUCGCGCAUCAGCCACGGCGCGGUGAAUACGUUCCCGGGCCUUGUACACACCGCCCGUCAAGCCAUGGGAGCCGGGGGUACCUGAAGUACGUAACCGCAAGGAUCGUCCUAGGGUAAAACUGGUGACUGG